AGAGUUUGAUCCUGGCUCAGGAUGAACGCUAGCGGGAGGCUUAAUACAUGCAAGUCGAGGGGUAACAUGGGAGCUUGCUCCUGAUGACGAGCGGCGGACGGGUGAGUAACGCGUAGGAAUCUACCUAGUAGAAGGGGAUAGCCCGGGGAAACUCGGAUUAAUACCGUAUACGUCCUUAGGGAGAAAGAGGGCUUAGCUUUGAUGCUCUCGCUAUUAGAUGAGCCUGCGUAAGAUUAGCUUGUUGGUGAGGUAAAGGCUCACCAAGGCUACGAUCUUUAGCUGGUCUGAGAGGACGAUCAGCCACAUUGGGACUGAGACACGGCCCAGACUCCUACGGGAGGCAGCAGUGGGGAAUAUUGGACAAUGGGCGCAAGCCUGAUCCAGCCAUACCGCGUGUGUGAAGAAGGCCUUCGGGUUGUAAAGCACUUUAAGUAAGGAAGAAAAGUAUAUUGUUAAUACCAAUGUACCGUGACAUUACUUACAGAAUAAGGACCGGCUAAUUCCGUGCCAGCAGCCGCGGUAAUACGGAAGGUCCAAGCGUUAAUCGGAAUUACUGGGCGUAAAGCGCGCGUAGGUGGUUUAUUAAGUUGGGUGUGAAAGCCCCGGGCUCAACCUGGGAACUGCAUCCAAAACUGAUUCACUAGAGUACGAAAGAGGGAGGUAGAAUUCACAGUGUAGCGGUGGAAUGCGUAGAUAUUGUGAAGAAUACCAAUGGCGAAGGCAGCCUCCUGGUUCUGUACUGACACUGAGGUGCGAAAGCGUGGGUAGCGAACAGGAUUAGAUAUCCUGGUAGUCCACGCCGUAAACGAUGACAACCAGCUGUUGGGAAGCAAUGCUUUUCAGUGGCGCAGCUAACGUCUUAAGUUGUCCGCCUGGGGAGUACGGCCGCAAGGUUAAAACUCAAAUGAAUUGACGGGGACCCGCACAAGCGGUGGAGCAUGUGGUUUAAUUCGAUGCAACGCGAAAAACCUUACCUACUCUUGACAUCCUUGGAAUCUCUUGUAAUGAGAGAGUGCCUUUUGGAACCAAGUGACAGGUGCUGCAUGGCUGUCGUCAGCUCGUGUCGUGAGAUGUUCCGUUAAGUCGGAUAACGAGCGCAACCCUUACCCUUAUUUGCCAGCGGUUCGGCCGGGAACUAUAAGGGGACUGCCGGUGAUAAACCGGAGGAAGGUGAGGACGACGUCAAGUCAUCAUGGCCCUUACGAGUAGGGCUACCCCCGUGCUACAAUGGGAAGUA
This 1237-nucleotide ribosomal RNA is filed under the name uncultured Gammaproteobacteria bacterium. Its description in RNAcentral is "bacterial SSU rRNA". It matches the Rfam family "Bacterial small subunit ribosomal RNA", at positions 8 to 1239 of the family's 1533-position model. Lineage: Bacteria; Pseudomonadati; Pseudomonadota; Gammaproteobacteria. The record is from RNAcentral.